CAGUAGCCACGGUAAUACGUAGGGUGCGAGCGUUAAUCGGAAUUACUGGGCGUAAAGCGUGCGCAGGCGGUUCGUUAAGACAGAUGUGAAAUCCCCGGGCUUAACCUGGGAACUGCAUUUGUGACUGGCGAGCUAGAGUAUGGCAGAGGGGGGUAGAAUUCCACGUGUAGCAGUGAAAUGCGUAGAGAUGUGGAGGAAUACCGAUAGCGAAGGCAGCCCCCUGGGCCAAUACUGACGCUCAUGCACGAAAGCGUGGGGAGCAAACAGGAUUAGAUACCCCCGUAGUCCCUGUCUCUUAUAC
This 301-nucleotide ribosomal RNA is filed under the name uncultured bacterium. RNAcentral's name for it is "partial 16S ribosomal RNA". It matches the Rfam family "Bacterial small subunit ribosomal RNA", at positions 509 to 807 of the family's 1533-position model. The record is from RNAcentral.